Molecule: unclassified non-coding RNA, 1886 nt
Organism: Vigna unguiculata (cowpea)
Lineage: Eukaryota; Viridiplantae; Streptophyta; Magnoliopsida; Fabales; Fabaceae
Source: RefSeq, a predicted model, not a curated record
CCUCAAGCAGGAAAAAUGUAGCUGAAAACGUUUCCAGGUUGUCUGUUUUCUGUAUUUGAAGUCCAAAAAUGCCUUCACACGGUUAAUGGUCUUAUCUCCUUUUUGUGUCUUUCUAAAACCCUGGGAAUAUGAUCCUUCUUUUAUGUUUGUUUUCUCUUCGGCCUUUAUCGGUAAUAUUUAUUCUUAUGAUUUUUUUAGAUGUUUUGAUUGUUUUUGUUUUCUGUUUAACUUUGAUACUUCUCCUUUGAUGAUGUAUGGUUUUAUCUUGGGUUUGAUUCCCUUCAAAACUAUUUUGAUGCCCUAAUUGAUGUGAAGACUAUCGACUAUCAAGUUGAGGUUUGUUUGAUGUUACGUUUGAGAUGUGCCACAAGCAUGGCAUGAUGCAUCGGGAUCUUAAGCCGGAAAACUUUCUAUUUGCAAAAACUACAACUUUGAAGACUAUAGAUUUUGGGUUGUUAGUGUUCUUUAAACCAGGGGAAAGAUUUAAUGAGAUAGUUGGAAGUCCAUAUUACAUGGCUCCCUCUGAGGUAUUGAAGCGGAAUUAUAGGCUAGAAGUAGAUAUCUGGAGUGUUGGAGUAAUUUUAUACAUCUUACUUUGUGGUGUUCCACCAUUUUGUGCAGUUCGGCAACAACAAGUUAUAAUAACUAAAAAGAAUGCCAGUAAACUGGUUGGCAUUCUUCAUGAGUUUGGAACCUCAAAAGAUUGUCAUCCUAUGCCAUGGUCUUCAACCCACCAAGGAAGACAAUAUCAUGAUAAAUCUUGCUUCUGCUCUAGAGAAUGCAGGAUUCAGUUCUUUCCGCUUUGACUUCAGUGGAAAUAGAUACUUCUUAAGGAGCUGAAAUAUUCACCAAAUUGAUAACUUUAUUUGAUUUUUGUAGUUUUUCGGUAUUCAUUAGGCCAAAGUGUGAAUGAAGUUACAAAAGAAAACUUUGAGACAUGUAACACGAUCAAUGUUUUGGCAACAUAUGAGAAUGUUAACACAACGGUGCCAUUGAGAAAAGGUUAUGAUGGCAAAGCACUUGCUCCAACUAUAGCACCUAAGGCUGUGGUUGGAUCUGAUGAAAACAUUGUCACAGUUCCAAACUCUCCUUCAUCAAAGAAGAGCACACAUCUUUCAACUGGAACUGUCAAUUAUUCUGUAAAGAAUGCACUUCAGUUGAUUUAUAUUGCUGUUAUGGUUGAUGCAUAUUUUAGUGUAAUGAAUGUGACUAAUGGAAAAAAGACAUUCUCUCUAGCUUUAAUAAAUACGACCAUUUAGUUUAACAUCUGUUUAUCUAUAAACCCUACUCUAUGUAAGGUUUAAUUUUGUAUGAUCUGUAGUUUAUUCUGUCAACGAAGGUACAAAAUUUUCAAAGCUGGAGCAUGGAGGAGGCAUACAGUGGUUGUUACGGAGGAUAGAAAUUCCUUGGCCUUUGGAUGGGACAAGCGUGGACAGCUAGGUUCGGGUCUUGUGAGAAAUGGUAUGUUUUUUCAAUUAUCUAUAAAAUUCUGCAGUUUUUUGCUAAUAUAUUUUAAAUUACACCCAUUGUUUGCUUGAAUGCUAACCUGCUCCAUGUUUUUUAUUGCCAUCGUUCUGAUUUUCAUGAGUGGAAAUGUAGUAAAGCUUUCGAUAUUUGGGUAUUCAAUGAUGGAAUAGAAGUUAUGGUGGAAUGAGUAGAAUGAAAUUGUAUUCUUCCAAUUUGUCCUUAUUAUACAGAACUCAUGGUCAUGACUGUUCAAGAGGAUUCUUUAGUAAGAAUUGUUCCAGCAGUUAAGGAAGAGAACAGAAACAAGCUUCGAGAUGCUGCCCAAGAGGAACCAUCUGUGAGACAUGGAGUUUGUGACGUGAGGCAGAUAGAACUUAUGAGAAAUAAGUUUAUCAUAAAGGAGGUGAAAUAUGUUUCAG